GAUGAAGAACGUAGCGAAAUGCGAUAAGUAAUGUGUAUUGCAGAAUUCAGUGAAUCAUCGAAUCUUUGAACGCACAUUGCGCCCCCUGGUAUUCCGGGGGGCAUGCCUGUCCGAGCGUCAUUACAACCCUCAAGCUCAGCUUGGUGUUGGGCCCCGCCGCCCCGGCGGGCCCUAAAGUCAGUGGCGGUGCCGUCCGGCUCCGAGCGUAGUAAUUCUUCUCGCUCUGGAGGUCCGGUCGUGUGCUCGCCAGCAACCCCCAAUUUUUUUCAGGUUGACCUCGGAUCAGGUAGGGAUACCCGCUGAACUUAAGCAUAUCAAUAAGCGGAGGA
RNAcentral lists this unclassified non-coding RNA (329 nucleotides) under soil metagenome. RNAcentral's name for it is "partial contains 5.8S ribosomal RNA, internal transcribed spacer 2, and large subunit ribosomal RNA". The stretch from base 1 to 120 matches the Rfam family "5.8S ribosomal RNA", at positions 35 to 154 of the family's 154-position model. The record is from RNAcentral.